This 111-nucleotide transfer RNA is filed under the name Pedobacter cryoconitis. RNAcentral's name for it is "tRNA-Asp". It matches the Rfam family "tRNA". From Rfam's summary of the family: Transfer RNA (tRNA) molecules are approximately 80 nucleotides in length. Their secondary structure includes four short double-helical elements and three loops (D, anti-codon, and T loops). Lineage: Bacteria; Pseudomonadati; Bacteroidota; Sphingobacteriia; Sphingobacteriales; Sphingobacteriaceae. The record is from RNAcentral. RNAcentral also lists the same sequence under 1 other name.
UGUAGGGUGGUGGAACUGGCAGACGCACCUCCUUGUCUCGGUGGUGGAGAAUAUGGAAAACCUGUAAAGGCUAACCACUCCUUGAAGGUUCGACUCCUUCCCCUACAGCCA